GAUGAACGCUAGCUACAGGCUUAACACAUGCAAGUCGCGGGGCAGCAUGGGGGUUGCUUGCAACCCCUGAUGGCGACCGGCGCACGGGUGAGUAACGCGUAUCCAACCUGCCCUUCACCACGGGAUAACCCGGCGAAAGUCGGACUAAUACCGUAUGUUGUCCUUUGACGGCAUCCGAUUUGGACGAAAGGCUUGGCGGUGAAGGGAUGGGGAUGCGUCCGAUUAGCUUGACGGCGGGGUAACGGCCCACCGUGGCUACGAUCGGUAGGGGUUCUGAGAGGAAGGUCCCCCACACUGGAACUGAGACACGGUCCAGACUCCUACGGGAGGCAGCAGUGAGGAAUAUUGGUCAAUGGGCGUAAGCCUGAACCAGCCAAGUAGCGUGCAGGAUGACGGCCCUAUGGGUUGUAAACUGCUUUUAUGCGGGGAUAAAGUGGCCCACGUGUGGGCUUUUGCAGGUACCGCAUGAAUAAGGACCGGCUAAUUCCGUG
This 491-nucleotide ribosomal RNA is filed under the name uncultured bacterium. RNAcentral's name for it is "partial 16S ribosomal RNA". It matches the Rfam family "Bacterial small subunit ribosomal RNA", at positions 28 to 507 of the family's 1533-position model. The record is from RNAcentral.